GUAUAUCUAUAAGUCAGGAUGUAGGGUACUUAUUAGUGGUGAAAGUCUCUUUUAAGUGCCCUCCCCGCCAAACCUUGUAAAUUUAACUUUAAUUAGUUCCCUUGGUAGGCGUAACUGCCUGUGGAUAAAAAUUUAAACUCUUUAAUAAAUUGGCUGAAAUUAAUGUAAUUGUCUGAAAUAAUGUUAAUAUUAAAACUUUCAACAACGGAUCUCUUGGUUCU
This 221-nucleotide unclassified non-coding RNA is filed under the name rhizosphere metagenome. RNAcentral's name for it is "partial ribosomal RNA internal transcribed spacer region". The record is from RNAcentral.